AGCGAACGUUAGCGGCGCGCCUAACACAUGCAAGUCGCACGAGAAAGGGAGCAAUCCCCGGUACAGUGGCGCACGGGUGAGUAACACGUAGAUGACCUUCCCUGGAGUGGUGGAUAACCUGCCGAAAGGCGGGCUAAUACGGCAUGGGACCACAUGGUUUUGACCGAGUGGUGAAAGCGGGCCUCUGUUCACAAGCUCGCGCUCUGGGAUGGGUCUGCGUCCCAUCAGCUAGUUGGUGAGGUAAUGGCUCACCAAGGCAUCGACGGGUAGCUGGUCUGAGAGGAUGACCAGCCACACUGGAACUGAGACACGGUCCAGACUCCUACGGGAGGCAGCAGUGGGGAAUCUUGCGCAAUGGGCGAAAGCCUGACGCAGCGACGCCGCGUGGGUGAUGAAGGCCUUCGGGUCGUAAGACGACUUUCUAAGUAGAUGAGAAAGG
This 439-nucleotide ribosomal RNA is filed under the name uncultured bacterium. Its description in RNAcentral is "bacterial SSU rRNA". It matches the Rfam family "Bacterial small subunit ribosomal RNA", at positions 29 to 454 of the family's 1533-position model. The record is from RNAcentral.